This 414-nucleotide ribosomal RNA is filed under the name uncultured Bifidobacterium sp. Its description in RNAcentral is "bacterial SSU rRNA". It matches the Rfam family "Bacterial small subunit ribosomal RNA", at positions 158 to 584 of the family's 1533-position model. Lineage: Bacteria; Bacillati; Actinomycetota; Actinomycetes; Bifidobacteriales; Bifidobacteriaceae. The record is from RNAcentral.
GGGUGGUAAUGCCGGAUGUUCCACAUGAUCGCAUGUGAUUGUGGGAAAGAUUCUAUCGGCGUGGGAUGGGGUCGCGUCCUAUCAGCUUGUUGGUGAGGUAACGGCUCACCAAGGCUUCGACGGGUAGCCGGCCUGAGAGGGCGACCGGCCACAUUGGGACUGAGAUACGGCCCAGACUCCUACGGGAGGCAGCAGUGGGGAAUAUUGCACAAUGGGCGCAAGCCUGAUGCAGCGACGCCGCGUGAGGGAUGGAGGCCUUCGGGUUGUAAACCUCUUUUGUUUGGGAGCAAGCCUUCGGGUGAGUGUACCUUUCGAAUAAGCGCCGGCUAACUACGUGCCAGCAGCCGCGGUAAUACGUAGGGCGCAAGCGUUAUCCGGAUUUAUUGGGCAUAAAGGGCUCGUAGGCGGCUCGUC